GAAGGAUUAUAAUCUUCCUCCUCAACAUGUUAACAGUGCCCUCUGGUGUUUGAAGGCAAAACAAUAGGCUUAUGAAUACAGGGUAUGAGCACAUCCAUCAAUUCAGUAGACAUCAAACUGCCUCUGGAUGUGGGUCCCAAGCCAGAUACCACGAGGGGAAGAAAGGUUAAUAAGACGGAUGGUCCCUGCCGUUAAGGGGUUUCCAAUCUAGUGGGAGAGACAAAUCCACAACCAUAGGAACAGAUGGAGAAAUGACACGAGCCCUAAUAAGGGUAUAAGCAGAGCCCAGUGAGAGUGCCUAGGGAUGAAAAAGAGGCCCUUAGGUGAGGUUCAACAGGCUGAGGGUAGAGGUUAGGACUCUUUAGACUGCAAACCCUAUGCUCAGGGCCCAGUAUUCCAGCGUAGCCAGGGCAGAGUGCUUGCAGGUGGGGUGUCCUGGGAGAUGCAGCUGUGUGGGACCAUAUUUGUGGAAGGCUUUGGAUGCCAAUCUCAGCAGGGGCCAUCCUAAGUAAAGAGCUAGCAGAUGUUCUCUGGUAAUUAGCAGAAGGAAAAAGGGUGGAUGUGUCAGCAAAGCAAAGGACAUAGGAAACCUUAUGGAGAGAGAGGACUUUUGCAGCAGUCCUACAUGGCACAGAGGUUUGAGCUGAGCACUGGCAAUGGGAUGGAGUGGAAGGCAAACAUUUGCCAAACAGUAAAAUUGACAAGAAAGAGAGUGGAGAAGCAUAAAAGGAAGCAGAAGGAGAUUCUGAGGUUUCUGGCCCUAGUUUACGGCUCCUAUAAAGUAAGGAUUAGAGGAAGAAUAGCAGAUGCUUUGGGUAAUUUUUAUUUAAGAUCUAUUUCUACCCUCCCCAAGUGAACUAUCUGUUCUAGGUCCUAAGUUAUAAAACAGUAAUUAAUUCUAAUAGACAUGUCAUUUGUGAAAACAGGUAUUUUAAAUAUGCAAGAUGAGCCUGGGGCAUCUUAUAGUGCCAAAAAGUAAAGACAUGUUCAAAAAAUGAAACAAAACACACAAUAAUAGGGGUAUGUGAAAAGAACACAAGAGCUCCCAAUGCCAAAAACCAGAAGAAUUUGAGCAACAAAAUAAAGUAGUAUUGGAUUAUAACCCAAAGUAUACUAUACAUAUCCAUGAGUCCAUACUGAUAUAAAUAAAUGAUUGAAAAAAUAAGUAAGUGGGAGAGAAUAGGUUAAUUUCCCACACAGAAUUCCAAAUAAUUUAAGUAGAUACUCUGUCCUCAAGGAGGGAGGGGGCAUAAAUCCCUACUCAUUAAUUGUGGGAUACACAGAGUAACCUCCUUCUAAAAGGUACAGUAUGGAAAGGGGGGAAAGGAGUAACUUUACAGUGGAAAAACCUGACAGACACUACCUUGGCCAGAUGAUCAAGAUCAACAUCAACAGAGAUGUCAUGCUGAUAGUAUGUAACUUCAAUAUGAUACAAUGAAAAUGGCACUUUAUCUAUGUGGUCUUCCUCCCCGAAACCCAUAACCCUAGUCUAAUCAUGAGAAAAACAUCAGAAAAAUCCCAAUUGAAUGGCACUCUACAAAAUACCUGACCAGUACUCCUCAAAACUGUCAAGGUCAUCAAAAACAAGGAAAAUCUGACAAACUGUUACAGCCAAGAGGAACCUAAGGAGACAUGACGACUCAAUGCAAUGUGGUAUCCUGGAUGCGAUCCUAGAAUAAAAAAAAGACAUGAGGUAAAAACUAAGGAAGUCUGAAUAAAGUAUGGUCUUUAGUUAAUAAUAAUGUAUCCAUAUUGGUUCAUUAAUUGUGACAAAUGUACCAUAUUAAUGUAAGAUGUUACUAAUGGAGGAAACUGGGUUUGGAUAUAUGGGGACUCCCUGUAUGACCUUCACAAUUUUUCUGUAAAUCUAAAACUAUACUAAAUUAAAAGUUUACUUAAGAAAAAAGCCCAGUUAUUUAGUGGAGAAUGACUGAUUACGCCCAGAUGAAGAAUA
Long non-coding RNA from Equus asinus (donkey), 1954 nucleotides. Lineage: Eukaryota; Metazoa; Chordata; Mammalia; Perissodactyla; Equidae. The record is from Ensembl.